Molecule: transfer RNA, 74 nt
Filed under: Patescibacteria group bacterium
Lineage: Bacteria
Description: tRNA-Trp
Rfam family: tRNA
About the family: Transfer RNA (tRNA) molecules are approximately 80 nucleotides in length.
Source: RNAcentral
AGGCCCGUGGUGAAAUGGUAUCACAGAGGUCUCCAAAACCUUUAUUCCGGGUUCGACUCCUGGCGGGCCUGCCA